Molecule: small nuclear RNA, 91 nt
Organism: Tupaia belangeri (northern tree shrew)
Lineage: Eukaryota; Metazoa; Chordata; Mammalia; Scandentia; Tupaiidae
Source: Ensembl
GAGCUCGCUUUGGCAGCACAUAUACUAAAAUUGGAACAACACAGAGAUUAGCAUGGGCCCUACGCAAGUUCGUGAAGCUUUCCAUAUUUCU